This is a long non-coding RNA of Perca flavescens (yellow perch), 1315 nucleotides long. RefSeq lists it as uncharacterized. The transcript has 3 exons. The record is from RefSeq and is a predicted model, not a curated record. NCBI's taxonomy places the organism in Eukaryota, Metazoa, Chordata, Actinopteri, Perciformes, Percidae.
GUAGGUUACAGUGUGUGUAGUUACGGCUACGUUAGUUACGUACGAUAAUAAUCCCCAAGAUUGCGUCGUGUUUCUUUUCAUUAUGGUUGCCCGUUCAGAAGUCAGAGACGAUUCCAAGGAUUUGAUGAAAGUCCCUGCAGAAGUGAUGUAACGACAGAUGGGAAACAUGGUUGAAUGCCAGUAUCAUAUAUGAUCUACAGCUGGUGGUAUGCUGCUGUCAUCAUGGGUGGUAUGGCAGAAGCGUGGAAACCUUCUGAUUGGUUAGGCAGCGAUAUGAAAUUACUUUACCCAAUUCCAGAGUUAUUCAGUUGCACUUACCACUAAGUGGAUCCGGAGUGGUGCAGUUCUUCUUUUGUUUGCCUCGAUCCUCCCUGAAGCUCUGCACCAGGUCUGGAUUGGAGUUCUGUGCUAGUCUCCUUCUCCUUGCCCUCUGCUCCAACCUCCUCACCCGACCCUGAGAUCGGCUGAUGAAGUCUGGCCUGAAGAGCUCCAAAGCCUCCUGGGGUGGAAAGAGGGAUACAUACAGUAAGAUGCUUGUUGGUGGGAAGAAUACAGUACAAUUCCCAGACACUAAUCCAGUGGAAAGAGAAAAGAAAUCUCCAUUGGGUUAGAAUCUAUUAAGAACAAAUACUAUUCCUUAACCUUGGAGAAUCCUUGUCACAGCCUUGUAAUAGCUAAGAGGUAUAGGCAACAUGUUAAUAUUAUGCUCAGCUUUAGUGGGGAUAAAGGUAAGAGAGCUUUACUCACGGGGGAUUCUGAAUCCUUUAAAAUCUCACUGGAUCUGAGCAAAACUUGUUAUAAUAACUGGGUAGGAAGAAAUGAAAAUCAAAAAGAAGGAAAAUAAAGCAAAUUGUGUAAUUAUUAAAGAUUUGUUUUCAUUCCCCCUCCACUUGGCAGAUGCUGUGUAAAACACCAACUAAAGCAAAAAUCCCUCCAAGUGUAAAAAAAAUCACCCCUAAGAGAUGAUGCUUCUGUUGUGAUAAUGUUUAUUUCAAGAGUAAACACAUUACGAUUCUCUGUGUGGGGAACCUUAAUUGAAAUAGUCCAAAUGCAUCAUUCCUAAAGGUUUAAAGUUUCCAUAUGGCACAUACACUGCACUUUUCCACAUAAACCUUAUGUGGUUGUACUGUGUAUAAUACUAAACAGCUAUUUGUGGUGUUUUCUUGACUUCACGUAAAUGACCUUUAGGCUGUCAGCCUUGGAUCUGUACUUUGUGGAACCAUUAUUUGUUGUAUUUGCAUCCUCAGUGGCUCCACUCAUUCUUUGAUAGUUCUUAACUUUGAUUGUUCACUGUGGACUUUCAAUUUUAGCUUGA